CUACGGGCGGCUGCAGUGAGGAAUUUUGCGCAAUGGGGGGAACCCUGACGCAGCAACGCCGCGUGAGUGAUGAAGGCUUUCGGGUCGUAAAGCUCUGUCAAGUGGGAAGAACCUAUGCAGUGUUAAUAUCACUGUAUACUGACGGUACCACUGAAGGAAGCACCGGGUAACUCCGUGCCAGCAGCCGCGGUAAUACGGGGGGUGCAAGCGUUAUUCGGAAUCAUUGGGCGUAAAGGGCACGUAGGCGGCUUGGUAAGUCAGAUGUGAAAGCCCGGGGCUUAACCCCGGAAGUGCAUUUGAUACUGUCAGGCUUGAGUAUGGGAGAGGGAAGUGGAAUUCCUGGUGUAGAGGUGAAAUUCGUAGAUAUCAGGAGGAACACCGGUGGCGAAGGCGACUUCCUGGACCAAUACUGACGCUGAGGUGCGAAGGCGUGGGUAGCAAACAGGAUUAGAUACCCGAGUAGUC
Molecule: ribosomal RNA, 465 nt
Filed under: uncultured bacterium
Lineage: Bacteria
Description: partial 16S ribosomal RNA
Rfam family: Bacterial small subunit ribosomal RNA
Source: RNAcentral